This 429-nucleotide ribosomal RNA is filed under the name uncultured bacterium. Its description in RNAcentral is "bacterial SSU rRNA". It matches the Rfam family "Bacterial small subunit ribosomal RNA", at positions 355 to 776 of the family's 1533-position model. The record is from RNAcentral.
UGGGGAAUUUUGGACAAUGGGCGAAAGCCUGAUCCAGCAAUGCCGCGUGCAGGACGAAGGCCUUCGGGUUGUAAACUGCUUUUGUACGGAACGAAACGGUCUCUUUUAAUAAAGGGGGCUAAUGACGGUACCGUAAGAAUAAGCACCGGCUAACUACGUGCCAGCAGCCGCGGUAAUACGAAGGGGGCUAGCGUUGUUCGGAAUUACUGGGCGUAAAGGGCGCGUAGGCGGCCUACCAAGUCAGACGUGAAAGCCCCGGGCUUAACCUGGGAAUUGCGCUUGAUACUGGUAAGCUCGAGUUCGGGAGAGGUGAGUGGAAUUCCGCGUGUAGCAGUGAAAUGCGUAGAUAUGCGGAGGAACACCGAUGGCGAAGGCAAUCCCCUGGACCUGUACUGACGCUCAUGCACGAAAGCGUGGGGAGCAAACAGG